CUGUGAUGCUGGGCUCAGGCAGAGGCGGGUACACCUCGUCACUCACACCAUCCAUUCUUCCCAUGGAAUUCGAUGAAUUGACAUUUUAUCCAAGGCCCCUUGGAUCGUGACCAACUAUGACUGAAGCGAGAUUACAUGAAAAUCAGAGAAAGACAACGAUGGAUAGGAUUGACUACAAUUAACACGUGACUACAAUUAACACGUGACAAUAAGUGCAGGAGUGCCAGGUUCAUGGCAUGUGGUUUUUGAAAUUUGAAGAAAUUGUGGGUGACACAGGAGUAGUCAGAUUGCAAAACUCAUGCAGUAAUCUAAUGGAUUAGGAUAGUAAACAAAGAAACGCCAGUUUGGUUUGACAAGGGUACGAAGCGUGUAAAAUUUCCAUUUCCGGUGGAAACAGACUAUUUUAAUUUCUUAUCUCGGAUUUAUGUAGGCUAUGUGUGUUGUCUAAUGCAUUUCAGCUUCAAACAUAAUAGAAUAAUGUAUAAACAGAUUAUAUCUAUGACACAA
Ostrea edulis (European flat oyster) is the source of this 507-nucleotide long non-coding RNA. RefSeq lists it as uncharacterized. The record is from RefSeq and is a predicted model, not a curated record. Lineage: Eukaryota; Metazoa; Mollusca; Bivalvia; Ostreida; Ostreidae. The transcript is spliced from 4 exons.